This is a long non-coding RNA of Gorilla gorilla gorilla (western lowland gorilla), 506 nucleotides long. RefSeq lists it as uncharacterized. Lineage: Eukaryota; Metazoa; Chordata; Mammalia; Primates; Hominidae. The transcript has 3 exons. The record is from RefSeq and is a predicted model, not a curated record.
CUCAUGCAAGAAAGUUCAGCACCAUCAGAGAGAAACAAGACAGAGAGAAUUCAUAGAAUGGCUUUAGGGCCUUUCCUCCAGGCGGUGAACCCUUUCCUGAAGGAAGAAAUGGAGAACGGCCCAGAUGACUAAAUCAGAGAAGGACCACAUAAUCCAAGGAUAGGACCCUGAUCAAUGCCCCAGUCAUAACCAGCGUGAGCUCUCCUCCUCAUCCUGCAACUCAGGAAGUCCACAGUGAGUCAGUCUAACCUGAGGUAAAAAGAGACAACUGAACGUUUCAUGAGCCUUAAGACUUGGAGGGCAAUGAUGGAAAGUAUGGACAGGGGCCGGACGCAGUGGCUCACACCUGUAAUCCCAGCACUUUAGGAGGCUGAGGCAGGUGGAUCACUUGAGGUUAGGUGUUCAAGACCAGCCUGGCCAAGAUGGUGAAACCCGAUCUCUACUAAAAAUACAAACAUUAGCCGGGCGUGGUCACGCAUGCCCGUAGUCCCAGCUACUCUGGAGGC